CGGUGAAAUGCGUAGAGAUCUGGAGGAAUACCGAUGGCGAAGGCAGCCAUCUGGCCUAAUACUUACGCUGAGGUACGAAAGCAUGGGGAGCAAACAGGAUUAGAUACCCUGGUAGUCCAUGCCGUAAACGAUGUCUACUAGCCGUUGGGGCCCUUGAGGCUUUAGUGGCGCAGCUAACGCGAUAAGUAGACCGCCUGGGGAGUACGGUCGCAAGACUAAAACUCAAAUGAAUUGACGGGGGCCCGCACAAGCGGUGGAGCAUGUGGUUUAAUUCGAUGCAACGCGAAGAACCUUACCUGGCCUUGACAUACAGAGAACUUUCCAGAGAUGGAUUGGUGCCUUCGGGAACUCUGAUACAGGUGCCGCAUGGCUGUCGUCAGCUCGUGUCGUGAGAUGUUGGGUUAAGUCCCGCAACGAGCGCAACCCUUUUCCUUAUUUGCCAGCACUUCGGGUGGGAACUUUAAGGAUACUGCCAGUGACAAACUGGAGGAAGGCGGGGACGACGUCAAGUCAUCAUGGCCCUUACGGCCAGGGCUACACACGUGCUACAAUGGUCGGUACAAAGGGUUGCUACACAGCGAUGUGAUGCUAAUCUCAAAAAGCCGAUCGUAGUCCGGAUUGGAGUCUGCAACUCGACUCCAUGAAGUCGGAAUCGGUAGUAAUCGCGGAUCAGAAUGCCGCGGUGAAUACGUUCCCGGGCCUUGUACACACCGCCCGUCACACCAUGGGAGUUUGUUGCACCAGAAGUAGGUAGUUUAACCGCAAGGAGGACGCUUACCACGGUGUCGCCGAUG
Molecule: ribosomal RNA, 794 nt
Filed under: Acinetobacter radioresistens
Lineage: Bacteria; Pseudomonadati; Pseudomonadota; Gammaproteobacteria; Moraxellales; Moraxellaceae
Description: bacterial SSU rRNA
Rfam family: Bacterial small subunit ribosomal RNA
Source: RNAcentral